RNAcentral lists this ribosomal RNA (253 nucleotides) under uncultured bacterium. RNAcentral's name for it is "partial 16S ribosomal RNA". It matches the Rfam family "Bacterial small subunit ribosomal RNA", at positions 524 to 776 of the family's 1533-position model. The record is from RNAcentral.
UACGUAGGGGGCAAGCGUUGUCCGGAUUUAUUGGGCGUAAAGGGCGCGUAGGCGGCUUUGCAAGUGACGGGUGAAAUCCCUCGGCUUAACCGAGGAACUGCCUGUCAGACUGUGAGGCUUGAGACCGGGAGAGGUGAGUGGAAUUCCCAGUGUAGCGGUGAAAUGCGUAGAUAUUGGGAGGAACACCAGUGGCGAAGGCGGCUCACUGGACCGGAACUGACGCUGAGGCGCGAAAGCGUGGGGAGCAAACAGG